Molecule: ribosomal RNA, 253 nt
Filed under: uncultured bacterium
Lineage: Bacteria
Description: partial 16S ribosomal RNA
Rfam family: Bacterial small subunit ribosomal RNA
Source: RNAcentral
UACGUAGGUGGCGAGCGUUGUCCGGAUUUACUGGGCGUAAAGGGAGCGUAGGCGGACUUUUAAGUGAGAUGUGAAAUACUCGGGCUCAACUUGAGUGCUUCAUUUCAAACUGGAAGUCUAGAGUGCAGGAGAGGAGAAUGGAAUUCCUAGUGUAGCGGUGAAAUGCGUAGAGAUUAGGAAGAACACCAGUGGCGAAGGCGAUCCUCUGGACUGUGACUGACGCUGAGGCUCGAAAGCGUGGGGAGCAAACAGG